Pantherophis guttatus is the source of this 559-nucleotide long non-coding RNA. RefSeq lists it as uncharacterized. Lineage: Eukaryota; Metazoa; Chordata; Lepidosauria; Squamata; Colubridae. The record is from RefSeq and is a predicted model, not a curated record.
AAAGGUAUUUUUAAAAUCUAUUUCUGUCCAGUGAUGGUUUUCUUUUGGACUCUUGAGAUGCUAAAAUAUAAAACUAAUAGCAGGUGGAAGAGAAAGAGGAAGAAGAGCAAAAGCAGUCACUGUUCCAAAGCUUGCCUGAUCUAGUCAUGUACCAUGGCACAGUGAAGAUUUUUCAGCUGAAUAUACUGUAUAUAUCCCUGAAUCACAAUAUACCUUUCUUCCACCUUUUUUCUAAUUUUUGCACUGACACAGAACAUCAGCAACUAUGAUCUAUUUACUUUCCUGGAAUGUCAGAACUGACUUUCAGCAUUUUUCCAAAAUUUCACACAUUUUCUCCAUUCCUACCUGUAAAUACUAGACAUUUAAUUAGACUGUUUAGAUCAGUGUUUCUCAACCUCAGAAACUUUAAGAUGUGUGGACUUCAACUUCCAGAAUUCUCCAGCCAUCAAGGUUGAGAAACACUGGUUUAGAUGAAAUCAUGCCCUCUGUUGUGACCUAAAGACUUUCUUUGAUAUUCUCUCAGCUCUAUUACAUAUUACUUACCAUAGAUAUACCCUUC